RNA transcript from Chelonia mydas (Green sea turtle), 3322 nucleotides. RefSeq lists it as uncharacterized. The transcript has 2 exons. The record is from RefSeq and is a predicted model, not a curated record. NCBI's taxonomy places the organism in Eukaryota, Metazoa, Chordata, Testudines, Cheloniidae.
CAGUCCCCGACCCUGCUCCCCGGCUGGAGCACCGGAGUGCCGGAGCGAGGCAAGCCCCAGAUCGCGCUCCCAAGCGGAUGCUCAAGGGCCAGAUUAAAAUGGUUGGCAGGCCAGAUCCGGCCCCCAGGCCGUAGUUUGCCCACCCUGUGCUAUAUACUUAAAUGGCUCUGUUCGAAUCAAUGCCUUUCUGUUUUUAAUAUUUAGUGGGAGUUGCAUGUUGAUUUUUUUUUAUUGGUAUAUGUACUUGUGUGGCAGGAGGAGGGGAUGUAAACUACUACAGACACAAAGAAGUGGGGUGUGAUCAAAUAAGUUUGAGAAUCACUGGCUUAGAGCACCCCUCAAGCUGUUCUAAACUGUGUCGCAAGCCCCCAGCUUGCUCCAGGAUCAGGGAAGCCCAAAUGUCAUCUUUGCAAUGGAUCCUGGACACAACUAAGGACUGGGCCUUUUCCUAAGUAAUAUUUUUUUAUUUCAUUAUGCACUCUGGAUCAUAAGAACUAUACAAAAGUAUAUGCUCUUGUUUAAUAGACUCAGCUUGUACUUGCAGCCAAGUACCAUACGCAAGUUUCUAAAGAUAGUUCAGGGUAAUUUUAGUGGGCUUCGGAGACUAAAUCAAAAUUGAAAGAAGUUGGAAAUUAUAUUGUGUUCCUGAUUAUUUGAUGUAAUAGCCAGGCUUUUUUGUUGCUCAUCUAAACUGCUGUGAAUAGUCUCUAUUGUCAGACUAUUGAAGUGUUUCUUCUGCAGAGUAUUGUUGUUUGGUUUUGAGCUUUUUCAAAAGUAUUAGUGAAAUCAUGACAAAAUAUUGGUUGUGUGUCACUUCACUAGUGGACCCUAGCUUGACAAAUAUCCUCCUUUCAUUUAUUAUUAAUUGUCAUUUCUUUGGAGCAGAGCCCAUCUUUUCACUCAAGGUAUGUACAUUGCCAGCACAAUGGGGCUUCAAACCUUGAUUGGGGUCACUACGUGCUACUGCAUUACAUACAAUAAUAAUAUUGAUAUAGGUAGAUAUUAAUAUUAAUGUAUUGUAUAUAAUUAAGUGAACUGUGGGGAAAAUUGUAUGUUGAAGUGCUAUAACCAGAUACCUUUCAACCCAUAACAUUGUUAGAAGGGCGUAACAUGGAAUCCUUAGGGCCUGAUCCUCUGGCCUUUAUAUGUGCAUAGCCCUCAGUGAUGUCAAGGUCAGUUACAAAAAGACAGAGCACAGAGUCAGGGUCUUUUAUAAACUGAAACACAUUGUAUUAGAGACAGUCAUAUGAAGUUGUCUGCAUUCUUUAAUUUGACUUCUCCUCUGCCGCCUCAAUGGUGAUUUAAUUAAAACAAAACCCCAUGUGUUAAUGGAAAUUACUUUGCUUAAUUAUAACUUGUUGCAAGCUACAACAUUUGAUCAUAACUUUUGAUAAUUACAGUAUAUAGGCCUUUAUAUGGUUUAUGUAAAACCAAAUUCAAUUAUGUUUCUUUUGUAGUGUUCCCAAAGAAUCAAAUUAUUUGUCUGUCUGUGAGCGGAUGAUACGCCUACACACACGCAUAUAUAGACAGAUUAUGUACACAUACAUAUAUAUUUUAUGGACAUAUAUAUAUAAUUGCACACACGUGUGUGUGUAUACAUAGGUACAUAUGUUUAUGUAUAUAAUAUAGAUAUGUUAGCUUUUGCAGGCGUUCCAAAAGUAAGUCUACUAAUUAAAGCUCUAAUACCCAUCUUAAGGCUGAUAAUUAGGUAUAAAGAAAACAAGAGACAGGAUUAGUGUUCAGAUCAUGUUCCAAAUGCUUCUUAAUUGGGUGUUUGUAAUCAGUCCUGAUUGCAAGAGGCAGUGGUUUGGCAGAAUAAAGAAAGAAAAAGGCUUAUGCCUACUAUUUUCCUGUUAGUUGACUUGGACAUAGUAUUUUGGUCAGGAUCCAAUGGCAUGAUGUCAAAGAAGGUAACUUUGUCAGCUACAGAUAUGCUCGUAAAGCAUACACACAAACCUCCCUUGUGCUCUUUUGAAAAAUAAAAAUUAAUAUUCUAUAGAACUAGCUCAAAACAAGUGAGUUGUUUUCAUUCAGAAUCUUAUAAAGUGUUUUCAAGCUGACCAUAGAAGAGACUUUGUUCUUCUGGCCUCCCUCCACCACUGACUGCUGAAAUUAGGUCUGAGUUCACUUUAAGCUUUCAUUUUGUUGACCUUGGCUCUCUUCUUGCUGACCCACAGUUCUCCAUCACAAAACCACACAGUUUGGUAUAAUGAUUAUUUCUUUAUCUUAAGUAACCAAAUAAUUUUUCAAGCAGGGUGACAGAUUUCCUUCUUGUACUCUGGGAAACAAGCACCUGGUUAGUUCCAUACAGAAUUUUGAUGACCUUCCUGAAUGAGAUUUGAAAGUUUUAUAAGUCACCUGGCAACUUUUGAGGAGCACAGAUUUUGUCAUGUCAAAUGCAUCACUUCGUUCUGAUCAAUCAGGAUGGAGCAUCAACAGAGGUUGGAGGAAGUUGAAAGACCAAAUACCAUCACAUGAGAGUUCAACGUCACACAAAGAAAGCUAUGUUGCAUGGAAAUCAGCCAGUAGGGCAACAUCAGCUGAAAGUUCAGUUGAGAAUUUGCUCUUGACUGAACUCUCUACAGAAACUAAUAACGGGAAAAAACUUCUUGAGCGCAUCUUGAAUGUCAUCCUUUUUCUUUCCGAGCGGGGAUUGACUUUCUUUGGUUCCAGUCAAUGUAUUGGUGAUCGUGCAAAUCAAAACUUUCUAGGCAUAGUUGAGCUCCUCAGCAAAUAUGACCCACUUUUAUCAGAGCAUGUUAAACGUAUUCGAGAAUCGCAAGAGAGUCAAAAGUGCAUGCAAGUCCGUUAUCGCUCCACAUGCAUACAAAAUGAGUUUAAUGAGCUAUGUGGGUCAUUCAUACAAACAACAAUUCUUGAUGAGAUUCAAAAUGCCACGUAUUUUUCAGCCAUUGUUGAUGCCACUCCAGAUUGUUCUCACAAGGAACAGAUGAGUAUAGUUAUUCAGUAUGUUAAGAUUGUAGACAGUGCAAAAUUUUCAAUUGAAGAAAGGUUUAUUUUGUUUGAUAACUUCACGAGAAAAACUGGAAAAGAAAUCGUUGCUUGAGUACUAGCAAUUCUAGAAGGUUUUAAGUUAGAUUUUCAAGUCUGCAUUGGUCAAGCCUAUGACAAUGGAUCUAUAUGGCUGGGAAGUACAAAAGUGUACAAACAGUUCUGAUUAAGCAUAAUUCACACUCUAUUUUCUCCAGCUGUGGAAACCACACACUAAACCUUGUAGGUGUUGACUGUGCUGAAUCAUGCAAGGAGGCAAUUACCUUGGAACUGUUUAGCAAAUGUACAAUCUCUUCGGUAGCAGUCCACA